Molecule: non-coding RNA, 410 nt
Organism: Ochotona princeps (American pika)
Lineage: Eukaryota; Metazoa; Chordata; Mammalia; Lagomorpha; Ochotonidae
Source: the annotation of a RefSeq genome assembly
ACAAGAAGAGUUUUGAUUCCUGCUGCGACCUUGCCAUGGAUACCUGGCUCUUAUGGGGAACAAUUUUUACUCUCCUGAAAGCAGGACAUACAGAACCAGGAGUGACCCAGACCCCCAGCCACCAGAUCAUGAAGAUGGGACAGGCAGUGACCUUUAGGUGUGAUCCCAUUCCUAACCACUUAUACUUUUAUUGGUACCGACAGAUCUUGGGACAAAAAUUGGACUUUCUGGUUUACUUCUAUAAUGAUAAACCCUCGGAGAAGUCUGAAAUAUUCAAUGAUCGAUUCACAGUUGAGAGGCCUAGUGGAUCAUAUCUAAUUCUGAAGAUCCAGCCCACACAGCUGGAAGACUCAGCUGUGUACCUCUGUGCCAGCAGCUUAGCCACAGCCUGGUAACAAGAUUGCCUGCCU